UUCAGCGAUGUGCAAAGUUGGACGUCUU
RNAcentral lists this small RNA (28 nucleotides) under Bombyx mori (domestic silkworm). RNAcentral describes it as "ovarian small RNA-37024". Lineage: Eukaryota; Metazoa; Arthropoda; Insecta; Lepidoptera; Bombycidae. The record is from RNAcentral.